CUUUUUUUUUUUUUUUUUUUUUUUUGUAUUCUCUUCAUGGAAGCCCAGCCCCUUCAAAUAUUCAGUAACCCCCAAGAAUCCUGGAAUAGGCUCUGUUGAAGAACAUCACCUCUGAGCCAGAUCGAUCUGGUUGCUGCUUCUGUGAAGCAGCAGCAAGGAGAGGAGCGAGGAGCCUGGCCUAGGGUAAGAAACACAAACGCACCUGCUUAUGAAUUCUGUUUUAAAAAUAAUAAAGUGACCUGUCUCUUCUUGCUGCUUCCUGGCCUUUCCCCUGCUGUUGAGGCACACACAAGGUGGUGUUGAGGCAGACACAGUCAUGUCAUGCAAAUAACAAAUCCUUAACAUCUGGGGAUGGGCGUGGAGCUCUGAGAAUACAUUGAAGGUAAAAUAAUGCCCAAAGUAGACUCUCACAGAUGAUACUGAACUUCUAGUAAUUUCCUGUCCAUCAUAAUAUCAGAUCAGGCUGGCUGGUUUGUCUCCCGACCUUUCUGCCUUUACAUUUUCCUGGCGAUCAUGUGCGCACACACACACACAGUGCCAGGUUAGGGAAUGUUAUUGCAAAAGGAGCAAGGAAGGAACAGAAAACACUUCUACUUUUGUCAGUAUUUGCUUUCUUGGAGCAUAGGGAGGGAGGCAGUGUGGACUAGUGGUUGGUAACCUGCGCUUCAGCCUCAGAUGGGCCAGGUUCGAGGCAGAGUACUGGCCCCGUUACUAAGAUUGGGGAAGUUCUGCGUCCACGAUGCAGGAUCUGGGAGAAAAAAGACUUUGUACUAAAUGAAAAUGUGGCAUAUUAAGGGCUUCACUGGGUGCCUGAAUGUUAGGGAGGGGGGGAGAGAGAGAGAGAGAGAGAGAAAGAGAGAGAGGAAAUGGUCAAUGUCUGCUUUUGGUUUUGGUUUUUGCUUUUGUUUUUACAACAUCAUAGACACAGACUUGGUUGAGACAAGGGGUGUGGGAUGAGGAGAAAAGCAAAGCUGUCAUUCCUUAUACAUCGUUCAUGGGCCGGACGACUGGAGAACACAUGACAGCCUGACCAGAGGUCCAGAGCAGCUUAGCAGAGCCGGCCAUCACACAGAGCCCAGCGUCACACGUCGUCAGCAGCAGAGAAGGAACUCAAGUUUAGAUCUGACUCCAAAGCUCUCAUUCCUUCAAGGUUACUGUGCUGUGUGCUGAGACGAGGCCAUGCCGGCUCACGUAAAAAGCAACCGGGUAUUUGCUGCUCUGGGCUGCAAUGUAGACUCUGGCACUUACAAGUAUGUAGUUUUUAUUUUUAAUAAAGAUUUUAUUUAUUUAUUUGACAGAGAGAGCGAGAGAGAGCACUAGUACAGGGGAGUGGCAGGGAGAGGGAGAGGGAGAGGGAGAGGGAGAGGGAGAAGCAGGCUCCCUGCUCAGCGAUGGGACUCAGUCCCAAGACCCCGGGACCAUGACCUGAGCCGAAGGCAGAGGCUUAACUGACUGAGCCACCCAGGCAUCCCUAGAAGUGUCUAGCUUACUACUUUAUUUGUUGUGCUGUGUUGUUGUUUCCAGUCUUAAACGCUGGUGGCCUUGCCUUCGACUGCUUGCCAGUUUCAUGACACUGUGCAAAUUAAUUCACUUGAACCUCAGUUUCCACAUCUCUAGAAAGGGAUGACAGUCCCUUCUAAGUGGGGGUUAAGUUACUUUUAGGAUGCCUAGUUCUAGCACAUAGUAGAGGCUCAAAUAUACAUUCACUGUAUUACCACUCUUCACAAACACACAAACACCUAAAUCGGACAGGGGAGCCACAGGUAGACCAUGUACACCAAAUCCAGGUGGGUUACAAUCCCACGUGUGUUGCAGAGUCAUGGAGAUGAUGUUCAGAACCUUUCAGAUGAACGUGAGUAGCCUCUCAGUGGCCCCCCCCACCCAGACCAGCUUUGGGCCUCCCCUCCUCGCCAUUCUACAGCUUACCUUCAACCUUUGCCCUCCAAAUAAAGUAGAUACUUGACUUUUUUGGGUGAAGGCAGACUUCCUAUAAAUCUGCGCCUGUUUUCUUGCUCACCGAACCUUCAAGCAAUGAGCAUCAGCCUUAUUGACAAACUGCACACACCUUUCAAAAAAUAGAACAAACAGGUAUGAAACAGAAACUUGUUCAGGACAAAAAACAAAAACAAAAAAGAAAAAACAACCAAAAAAACAACCCACAAAAAAAAAAAAAAAAAAAAA
Molecule: long non-coding RNA, 2181 nt
Filed under: Canis lupus familiaris (dog)
Lineage: Eukaryota; Metazoa; Chordata; Mammalia; Carnivora; Canidae
Description: lncRNA (ENSCAFG00000053536.1)
Source: RNAcentral